RNAcentral lists this ribosomal RNA (1156 nucleotides) under Paravulvus hartingii. RNAcentral describes it as "LSU rRNA". It matches the Rfam family "Eukaryotic large subunit ribosomal RNA", at positions 38 to 918 of the family's 3401-position model. The record is from RNAcentral. Lineage: Eukaryota; Metazoa; Nematoda; Enoplea; Dorylaimida; Nygolaimidae.
GCAUAUUAGUAAGCGGAGGAAAAGAAGUUAACGAAGAUUUCCCCAGUAACGGCGAGUGAAAAGGAAUUUUAUUUUAAAGCUCAUCGCUGAAUCCGUUCGGACGCUCAACGUUCGACGGAACUGUAGCGUACAGGAGAGCCCGUUAUUAUCGCGCGUACAAUCAAAAAAACGCCUCGGAAGCUCCCUCGAACGGGACCCCGUAGCGGGUGCCAGGCCCGUACCGAAGCUGCGCGCGGUAGUUCACGGAGCCUCUACAGAGUCGGGUUGCUUGAGAGUGCAGCCCGAAGCAGGAGGUAAACCCCUUCUAAAGCUAAAUACUACCACGAGACCGAUAGCGAACAAGUACCGCGAGGGAAAGUUGAAAAGAACUUUGAAGAGAGAGUUCAACAGGGCGUGAAACCGCUUAGAAGAAAACGGACGAUACCGCUUGUUUUUUACGAAAAUCAGUCGCACGCUUGUUCCGUCCUCCGAACAGAUCGGUGCGACCUAGUCGUCCGAACGACUCGGAUUCAGAUCGGGCUCGUGCGGCGCAUUUUUCGUAAUUGCGAACACCGCGAUCGGUUUACUUCGCUCGUUAAUGAACGGCGACGAAUUGAGGGCGCUGUCCGUGAGGAUACGCGUAACCGAUCGUCCCGAUUAACGACGAGACGAAUAGACUGUAUAAUCAAAUUUCACGGACGUCGGCCGUAAAAGCUCGCCCGUUCUAGUAGAGAGUCGGUCGUAGGCGAGUCACUCUGCUCGCAGAUCUCGCGCCUACCCAGGCUGACUGCUUCUAUUAUGCGGCGACGAUUCGACGCUUCCGGAUUCGGCGGUGCUUUUAUUAAGUCGGUCGCUCGUCCGACCCGUCUUGAAACACGGACCAAGGAGUCUAACAUAUGCGCGAGUCAAUGAGUAUUUUAAUACUCUAAUAGACGUAAUAAAAGUAAAAUUCGAUAUUAAAAUCGAACGAGGUAGGAUUUCGGAAUUUUAGUUAAUAGCUUAUUCCGAACACACUACCGUCCCGUCCAUCGUCGCUUCGUCGGCGGGGCGGAGACUGAGCGUAUACGUUGGGACCCGAAAGAUGGUGAACUAUGCCUGAGCAGGGCGAAGCCAGAGGAAACUCUGGUGGAGGUUCGUAGCGGUUCUGACGUGCAAAUCGAUCGUCAGACUCGGGUAU